RNAcentral lists this long non-coding RNA (1072 nucleotides) under Neogobius melanostomus (round goby). RNAcentral's name for it is "lncRNA (ENSNMLG00000019582.1)". Lineage: Eukaryota; Metazoa; Chordata; Actinopteri; Gobiiformes; Gobiidae. The record is from RNAcentral.
GGGUAGCUCUACAGUGGGUUACCAGUUAUUUAAAAAAUAGAAAACAAUGUGUGAAAAUAGGUGAUUAUCAGUCGAGUUGUCGACAAAUUGUGUGUGGUUUACCUCAAGGUUCCAUUCUGGGCCCAAAAUUGUUUAAUAUGUACAUCAACGACAUUUGUAAAACGUCUCAAGUACUUAAAUUUAUCUUGUUUGCUGACGAUACAAAUAUUUUUGCAUCAGGUGACGACUUACAGCAACUGUGUCGGAUUGUUAACUUGGAACUCAAAAGUGUCAAUAAGUGGUUCAAACAAAAUAAAUUAUCUCUAAAUCUGAGUAAAAGCAAAAUGAUGAUAUUUGGCAACUGUAAUUCCAAUGCUCAGGAAGCAAUUCAGAUAGAGGGUGUUGUCAUAGAGCGAGUGCAUGAAAUCAAAUUCCUUGGUGUUAUUAUAGAUGACAGAAUUACUUGGAAAGCUCAUAUUAAAUAUAUAUCUACGAAAAUUUCUAGAAGCAUUUCAGUAAUAGCAAAAGCAAAGCACAUUUUAAACAUCAAAGCUCUACAUAUCUUAUACUGUUCUCUGAUUUUGCCAUAUUUAUAUUAUUGUACUGUGGUUUGGGGUAGUACUUAUAAAAACACAUUAAAACCAAUAGUAUUGUUGCAAAAAAGAGCUAUCCGAGUAAUUCAUAAAGUUGGGUUUUUGGACCACACAAACUCAUUAUUUUUAAAAUCAAAGAUCAUGAAGUUCUGUGACAUUGUUGAGUUCCAAACUGUACAGAUGUUAUACAAAGCAAGAUACAAACUGUUGCCAGGCCAAAUACAAAGAAGGUUCCAAGAACGUACUGGUUGUUAUGAAUUACGUGACGAAUUAAACUUUAGGACUCAGAAACAUAGCUCAACUUUGAAAAGUUUUAGCCCAACAGUUAAUGGUGUACAAUUGUGGAAUAAACUGGAAAUGGAGUUGAAACGAAGUCCAAAUAUCAACCUGUUCAAAUAUAAAUACAAACAAAAGACUUUUGAAAUAUACAGAGAACAAGAAAUGUGUUGCCACUAGGAGGCGCAGUAGGAUCAAUUAUCUAUAAUCAAGGAAGAGUGUUG